RNAcentral lists this ribosomal RNA (490 nucleotides) under uncultured bacterium. RNAcentral's name for it is "partial 16S ribosomal RNA". It matches the Rfam family "Bacterial small subunit ribosomal RNA", at positions 28 to 507 of the family's 1533-position model. The record is from RNAcentral.
GAUGAACGCUAGCGAUAGGCUUAACACAUGCAAGUCGAGGGGCAGCAUGGUCUUAGCUUGCUAAGACUGAUGGCGACCGGCGCACGGGUGCGUAACGCGUAUGCAACUUGCCUCACAGAGGGGGAUAACCCGUCGAAAGACGGACUAAUACCGCGUACACUUGGGAUAGGGCAUCCUGACCCAAGGAAAUGAAAUUCGCUGUUAGAUAGGCAUGCGUCCCAUUGGCUAGUUGGUGAGGUAACGGCUCACCAAGGCGACGAUGGGUAGGGGAACUGAGAGGUUGAACCCCCACACUGGUACUGAGACACGGACCAGACUCCUACGGGAGGCAGCAGUGAGGAAUAUUGGUCAAUGGGCGAGAGCCUGAACCAGCCAAGUCGCGUGAAGGAUGACUGUCUUAUGGAUUGUAAACUUCUUUUAUACGGGAAUAACAAGAGCCACGUGUGGCUCCCUGCAUGUACCGUAUGAAUAAGCAUCGGCUAACUCCGUG